Molecule: long non-coding RNA, 500 nt
Filed under: Panax ginseng (ginseng)
Lineage: Eukaryota; Viridiplantae; Streptophyta; Magnoliopsida; Apiales; Araliaceae
Description: long non-coding RNA (PGIN_LNC002405)
Source: RNAcentral
ACACGAUGAUAAUUAUAAUUUUAAUACCCAAUAUUCACGGCGUUAACUUUGCAAUUCAUAAAUUUCGCCGUCACACUAUCCCUCUCCAAAGUGGAGUAUAGACUAAUUUGUCAAAUAAGAGCAACGGCUAGUCGUGCUGACUGCUGAGGUGGAGGUAACGAUGAUUAGGUGGUCCGUCGCAAAUUAUUUGUUCUUUCUAUUCUUCCUUUUGUACUAUUUGAUUUUGCAAAAUUUAUAUGUUUUCAGUACAUUUUUUUUAUAAUAAAAAUUAUUAGAGAUGUUCCUUUUCCAUCCAUUUUCUAUUUUUUAUUUACUUAUUUUAAUAUACUCCUAUAUGAAAUUACUCAAAUUAGUACUACUAGUAUUCUAGCAGUAUAAUAUAAAAAGGGAACUCUCUUUUCGGCCCAAAAGUAUUAUAUAAUCAUUGUUUUACCCCAAAGGAUUCCUACUUUUCCUCUUUUUGUCCUUUUAGUAUUUCUCUUUGUAAGCCCACACUUUUG